GACGUAGGGCGCGAGCGUUGUCCGGAUUUAUUGGGCGUAAAGAGCUCGUAGGCGGCUUGUUGCGUCGACCGUGAAAACCCGGGGCUCAACUUCGGGCUUGCGGUCGAUACGGGCGGGCUAGAGUUCGGUAGGGGAGACUGGAAUUCCUGGUGUAGCGGUGAAAUGCGCAGAUAUCAGGAGGAACACCGGUGGCGAAGGCGGAUCUCUGGGCCAUUACUGACGCUGAGGAGCGAAAGCGUGGGGAGCGAACAGG
Molecule: ribosomal RNA, 253 nt
Filed under: uncultured bacterium
Lineage: Bacteria
Description: partial 16S ribosomal RNA
Rfam family: Bacterial small subunit ribosomal RNA
Source: RNAcentral